GAUGAACGCUGGCGGCGUGCCUAAUACAUGCAAGUCGAGCGAACAGAUGCGGAGCUUGCUCCUCUGACGUUAGCGGCGGACGGGUGAGUAACACGUGGAUAACCUACCUAUAAGACUGGGAUAACUUCGGGAAACCGGAGCUAAUACCGGAUAAUAUCUUGAACCGCAUGGUUCAAUAGUGAAAGACGGUUUUGCUGUCACUUAUAGAUGGAUCCGCGCCGCAUUAGCUAGUUGGUAAGGUAACGGCUUACCAAGGCAACGAUGCGUAGCCGACCUGAGCGGGUGAUCGGCCACAUGGGAACUGAGACACGGUCCAGACUCCUACGGGAGGGAGCAGUAGGGAAUCUUCCGCAAUGGGCGAAAGCCUGACGGAGCAAGGCCGCGUGAGUGACGAAGGUGUUCGGAUCGUAAAACUGUGUUAUUAGGGAAGAACAAAUGUGUAAGUAACUAUGCACGUCUUGACGGUACCUAAUCAGAAAGCCACGGCUAACUACGUG
RNAcentral lists this ribosomal RNA (497 nucleotides) under uncultured bacterium. RNAcentral's name for it is "partial 16S ribosomal RNA". It matches the Rfam family "Bacterial small subunit ribosomal RNA", at positions 28 to 507 of the family's 1533-position model. The record is from RNAcentral.